AGUGAACGCUGGCGGUAUGCCUAACACAUGCAAGUCGAACGGCAGCACAGUAAGAUCUUGCUCCUACGGUUGGCGAGUGGCGGACGGGUGAGGCAUACAUCGGAAUCUACUUUUUCGUGGGGGAUAACGUAGGGAAACUUACGCUAAUACCUCAUACGACCUACGGGUGAAAGCAGGGGAUCUUCGGACCUUGCGCGAUUGAAUUAGCCGAUGUCGGAUUAGCUAGUUGGCGGGGUAAAGGCCCACCAAGGCGACGAUCCGUAGCUGGUCUGAGAGGAUGAUCAGCCACACUGGAACUGAGACACGGUCCAGACUCCUACGGGAGGCAGCAGUGGGGAAUAUUGGACAAUGGGCGAAAGCCUGAUCCAGCCAUGCCGCGUGGGUGAAGAAGGCCUUCGGGUUGUAAAGCCCUUUUGUUGGGAAAGAAAAGCAGCAGGUUAAUACCCCGCUGUUCUGACGGUACCCAAAGAAUAAGCACCGGCUAACUUCGUG
RNAcentral lists this ribosomal RNA (492 nucleotides) under uncultured bacterium. RNAcentral's name for it is "partial 16S ribosomal RNA". It matches the Rfam family "Bacterial small subunit ribosomal RNA", at positions 29 to 507 of the family's 1533-position model. The record is from RNAcentral.